This is a long non-coding RNA of Dromaius novaehollandiae (emu), 2523 nucleotides long. RefSeq lists it as uncharacterized. The record is from RefSeq and is a predicted model, not a curated record. The transcript is spliced from 2 exons. NCBI's taxonomy places the organism in Eukaryota, Metazoa, Chordata, Aves, Casuariiformes, Dromaiidae.
CGGGGCAGGAGCCGCCGGGGCAGGAGCCGCCGGGGCAGGAGCCGCCGCGCAGGAGCCUCGGGGCCGGAGCCGCCGCGCAGGAGCCGCCGGGGCCGGAGCCGCCGGGGCCGGAGCCGCCGGGCAGCCGCAGCUCGGCGCUGCGGACCCCGCGGCCGCACGUCGGGCGCCGCAUUGCUCGCUGCCCGCUGCCCGCUGCCCGCUGCCCGCCGCCGGCGCGUCCCCCUCCGCCGGCUCCCGCGGCGCUGCGCUGCUCUGCGCCGCCGUCGGAAGCGCGGCGGGGCUCGGCGGAGCCCCGCGGUGCCGGUGCCGGUGCCGGUGCCGGUGCCGGUGCCGGCGGGUCCUGCCCGCCCCUCGCCGGGAGAGCGCGGGGCCCCGAGGGCGGCGCGGCCGCGGCGCGGGACUCACCACCACGAGGAGUCGGCGCGGGGCGUCAGGGCGAGCAGGAUGAGCACGACGGGCAGGACUCUUUCCUCAAGGACAAGGGUCGAGGUGGGGACACGUGCACCCCCAGCCUGAUUUCCUGCAGUAACGAGCAACAGGCGGACGGACGCCUGUAAAUGUCACCCCAACCCCGAACCCCGGGAAGCGGCUACAUUGCAGACACGGGAAGGCACGAGCAAGCGGAGCGGUUCCCGUCGGGGGUGACUUGGCUGCCGUGUCCCUAACGCGUCGCUGCUGUUCGGUUUGCUUCGACGGUUGCAGCAGCUCCCCGCUGCCUUUCGUGGCCGUUUCUUUGCGCUCGGCUGGACACGAGCGGAGCGGAGCCCGCGGCGGCCGCGGAGCGCCUGACUCGUACGGGGCCGCGCGGGAGGCGACGGCUGGGCAGCGGCUUCGUCCCUCGGGAUGCGAAACGUGCCCGGGGGGGUUUACCCAGGAGGUCAACAACUCGCAACUGUUGACAGUUCAGAUCCAAGCUGCUUUUCCAGGAAAUUCAGCUUCUGUCGAGUCACUGCUGAGAUCCAGCUUUUAGCACUCAGUUUUAGGCAAUAAACUGCAACUGGGAGAACAAGCGCUUUCUCAGCGUCUCUCUGCCAACUGAGCCCAAAGGUCGCUGCCUGAAGCGGGGGGACCGUCCCCGAGAGCUGCAGCUGCGCAGGGCUGGGAAACGUCCCCGCGUUGGGGCACGCGGCUCUGCGGCCCCGGCCUCGGCGCAGGACCGCAGCGGUGGUCGAGCCGGGGGAGGCCGGCGGGACCCGUCGUGAGCGCGGCCCCGGGAGCCCGCUGCACCGCGACCUGCGCGCGAGUUGCAGGAAACAGAAAAACAAACAGAUGCUGAAAAAUAGCCAGAGCAUCUUCUGGGGGCCUUGCAGCUUCCUAGCUUUAUUUAAAAGAAGGAGGGAAGAAAGUAAAUUUUGCCUGUCAGGGAGCUGCUGUCGUCACGCAAGGGCACUUAGGGCUGCUAUAAACAACCGUGCGGGUUUACGCGGCCGCCGUCGCCUCCCGCGCGGCUCCCCGGGCACCUCGGUCCCACGGCGGGAUGCCGCAUCCCGCUUGCUCCCCCGUCGCUUUUCCGUCCCUCUCCGCAAGAUAAAGGGGUUUUGGCGGAUUUGGUCCGGGCACCGGUGUGUGUUUGCAUGGCAGCGGCUGUGCCCAGCUGCUGCCAUCGCUGCAAAGCCCCGAUUGCGCCUCGUUUUCCUGCACAUCGACUCUUUCUCUGCCUGUGGCUCGGCCUGUAAAUCACUGCAGGCCCCAGCUUCGCACAUCAGAGGAGCCGAGCGGGACGUUGGUGUGGGGGCAAUUAGCCGGGCAAUUAGGGCACUCGCUCUUUGCACGUCGCUGUUGCAGCCGGCUCCUGCCGCACGCUCGGUUCGGGCUCCCCGCGCGGCGCAGCCUCCGGACGGAGGGUUUCCUCGCACCGCCGCGUGCGCAGCAGCCGUCGCGUGCCGUCGGCAGGCUCCAGCGGGUCUGCUACGAAUGCAAAACCCCUGCUUUAUUCUGCAUGCCCGAGGCUGCAAAACGCGUGCCUUAGGCGGCGUGCCGGCCCCGCUGCCCCCGCGGCCCUCACCUGGCAGCUGGAGCGUGUACGGCACAGCCUGCAACGCUAUCGCCGCAGGAUUUACAGGGCGGGACGUGACUGACAGAUAAGGGACUCCCACAGAGCGGCGGCGAGGAGCGAGGGAAGCAGAAAUCUGCAUGUCUGGCCCUGAGUCAGGAAUUUGGAGCCCCUCUUGUUCAAGCAGGUUCGAACAGAAAGUUUGCCAAAGCAGCCUGACGCCGUAAAAACGCUUCGCGAAGAAGGGGCAGAGAUGGGUUUAACAAAAGAGCAGGAAAAGCUCCCCAGCCCGCGUCCCGCCCUGCUGUUUACGACCUGCACAUGGACGGGGCUGAUCGCGGAGCCCUUUCCGUACGGCAAUAAAGUGGAAAAAGCGAUCGCGCUCGGCCGAGAGGAGUGGUUGCUUUGAGCACGUCGAGCGCAGCGCAAGAGAUCAUUCCAUUGUUUUAAGAUUUCCAUAACUCACUGUGUUUAAGCACAUAAAAAUGUAGACAUUCUGGCAAUAAAAUUUGGGUAAUUUUGACAAUGAA